RNAcentral lists this ribosomal RNA (1346 nucleotides) under uncultured bacterium. RNAcentral describes it as "partial 16S ribosomal RNA". It matches the Rfam family "Bacterial small subunit ribosomal RNA", at positions 28 to 1381 of the family's 1533-position model. The record is from RNAcentral.
GACGAACGCUGGCGGCGUGCUUAACACAUGCAAGUCGAACGGAAAGGCCCUGCUUUUGUGGGGUGCUCGAGUGGCGAACGGGUGAGUAACACGUGAGUAACCUGCCCUUGACUUUGGGAUAACUUCAGGAAACUGGGGCUAAUACCGGAUAGGAGCUCCUGCUGCAUGGUGGGGGUUGGAAAGUUUCGGCGGUUGGGGAUGGACUCGCGGCUUAUCAGCUUGUUGGUGGGGUAGUGGCUUACCAAGGCUUUGACGGGUAGCCGGCCUGAGAGGGUGACCGGCCACAUUGGGACUGAGAUACGGCCCAGACUCCUACGGGAGGCAGCAGUGGGGAAUAUUGCACAAUGGGCGGAAGCCUGAUGCAGCAACGCCGCGUGCGGGAUAACGGCCUUCGGGUUGUAAACCGCUUUCGCCUGUGACGAAGCGUGAGUGACGGUAAUGGGUAAAGAAGCACCGGCUAACUACGUGCCAGCAGCCGCGGUGAUACGUAGGGUGCGAGCGUUGUCCGGAUUUAUUGGGCGUAAAGGGCUCGUAGGUGGUUGAUCGCGUCGGAAGUGUAAUCUUGGGGCUUAACCCUGAGCGUGCUUUCGAUACGGGUUGACUUGAGGAAGGUAGGGGAGAAUGGAAUUCCUGGUGGAGCGGUGGAAUGCGCAGAUAUCAGGAGGAACACCAGUGGCGAAGGCGGUUCUCUGGGCCUUUCCUGACGCUGAGGAGCGAGAGCGUGGGGAGCGAACAGGCUUAGAUACCCUGGUAGUCCACGCUGUAAACGGUGGGUACUAGGUGUGGGGUCCAUUCCACGGGUUCCGUGCCGUAGCUAACGCUUUAAGUACCCCGCCUGGGGAGUACGGCCGCAAGGCGAAAACUCAAAGGAAUUGACGGGGCCCCGCACAAGCGGCGGAGCAUGCGGAUUAAUUCGAUGCAACGCGUAGAACCUUACCUGGGUUUGACAUGGAUCGGGAGUGCUCAGAGAUGGGUGUGCCUCUUUUGGGGUCGGUUCACAGGUGGUGCAUGGCUGUCGUCAGCUCGUGUCGUGAGAUGUUGGGUUAAGUCCCGCAACGAGCGCAACCCUUGUUCACUGUUGCCAGCACGUUAUGGUGGGGACUCAGUGGAGACCGCCGGGGUCAACUCGGAGGAAGGUGGGGAUGACGUCAAGUCAUCAUGCCCCUUAUGUCCAGGGCUUCACGCAUGCUACAAUGGCUGGUACAGAGAGUGGCGAGCCUGUGAGGGUGAGCGAAUCUCGGAAAGCCGGUCUCAGUUCGGAUUGGGGUCUGCAACUCGACCUCAUGAAGUCGGAGUCGCUAGUAAUCGCAGAUCAGCAACGCUGCGGUGAAUACGUUCCCGGGGCU